RNAcentral lists this ribosomal RNA (633 nucleotides) under Mucor irregularis. RNAcentral's name for it is "eukaryotic LSU rRNA". The stretch from base 240 to 392 matches the Rfam family "5.8S ribosomal RNA". Lineage: Eukaryota; Fungi; Mucoromycota; Mucoromycetes; Mucorales; Mucoraceae. The record is from RNAcentral.
UCCGUAGGUGAACCUGCGGAAGGAUCAUUAAAUAAUUUGAGUAUGCUUAUGCAUAUUUCUAAUUUACUGUGAACUGUUUUACUGUUUAGCGUUUUGAGGGAUUGCCUAAAGAUUAUAGGGAUAGGUCUUUAGGAUGUUAACCUAGCUAAAGUCAGGCUUAGGCCUGGUAUCCUAAUUCAUUAUUUACCAAAAGAAUUCAGAAUUAAUAUUGUAACAUAAGCGUAAAAAACUUAUAAAACAACUUUUAACAACGGAUCUCUUGGUUCUCGCAUCGAUGAAGAACGUAGCAAAGUGCGAUAACUAGUGUGAAUUGCAUAUUCAGUGAAUCAUCGAGUCUUUGAACGCAUCUUGCGCUCAAUGGUAUUCCAUUGAGCACGCCUGUUUCAGUAUCAACAACAACCCACAUCCACAAUUUUGUUGUGAAUGGAAGUGAGAGUAUCGAUGUAAAAAUUGAACUCUUUAAAACUAUUAGGCCUGAACUAUUGUUCUAUUAGCCUGAACAUUUUUUUAAUAUAAAGGAAUGCUCUAGUUAAAAGACUAUCUUGGGGGCCUCCCAAAUAAAUCAUUUUUUUAAACUUGAUCUGAAAUCAGGUGGGAUUACCCGCUGAACUUAAGCAUAUCAUAAGCGGAGGA